This 252-nucleotide ribosomal RNA is filed under the name uncultured bacterium. Its description in RNAcentral is "partial 16S ribosomal RNA". It matches the Rfam family "Bacterial small subunit ribosomal RNA", at positions 524 to 775 of the family's 1533-position model. The record is from RNAcentral.
UACAGAGGGUGCGAGCGUUAAUCGGAAUUACUGGGCGUAAAGCGCGCGUAGACGGUUUUGUAAGUCAGAUGUGAAAUCCCCGGGCUCAACCUGGGAAUGGCGAUGGAUACUGGCAAGCUAGAGUGUGUCAGAGGAUGGUGGAAUUUCCGGUGUAGCGGUGAAAUGCGUAGAGAUCGGAAGGAACAUCAGUGGCGAAGGCGGCCAUCUGGGACAACACUGACGCUGAAGCACGAAAGCGUGGGGAGCAAACAG